AACAAGGAAUAUAUGGUCGCGCGGGAUGCUCCUGAUGACAGGUGCAUUCCGUGAGGGAAAGUCCGGGCUCCACCGGAAAAGAUGCCGGAUAAUAACCGGGCAGAAAGGAUAGUUGCCUAAUACAACUGGCAUAACUCUUUUCUGACAGAAAGUGCUACAGAAAACAACCGCCUGUUUUACGGGUAAGGGUGAAAAGGCAGGGUAAGAGCCUACCGCGCUUCUGGCAACAGCGGCGGCAUAAGCAAACCUCAUCUGGAG
This 258-nucleotide RNase P RNA is filed under the name Treponema sp. RNAcentral describes it as "partial RNase P RNA component class A". It matches the Rfam family "Bacterial RNase P class A", at positions 1 to 222 of the family's 367-position model. Rfam says of the family: Ribonuclease P (RNase P) is a ubiquitous endoribonuclease, found in archaea, bacteria and eukarya as well as chloroplasts and mitochondria. Its best characterised activity is the generation of mature 5'-ends of tRNAs by cleaving the 5'-leader elements of precursor-tRNAs. The record is from RNAcentral. Lineage: Bacteria; Pseudomonadati; Spirochaetota; Spirochaetia; Treponematales; Treponemataceae.